CCUACGGGAGGCAGCAGUGAGGAAUAUUGGUCAAUGGACGAGAGUCUGAACCAGCCAAGUAGCGUGAAGGAUGACUGCCCUAUGGGUUGUAAACUUCUUUUAUAAAGGAAUAAAACGCGGCACGUGUGCCUUUUUGCAUGUACUUUAUGAAUAAGGAUCGGCUAACUCCGUGCCAGCAGCCGCGGUAAUACGGAGGAUCCGAGCGUUAUCCGGAUUUAUUGGGUUUAAAGGGAGCGUAGAUGGGUUGUUAAGUCAGUUGUUAAAGUUUGCGGCUCAACCGUAAAAUUGCAAUUGAUACUGGCAGUCUUGAGUACAGUUGAGGUAGGCGGAAUUCGUGGUGUAGCGGUGAAAUGCUUAGAUAUCACGAAGAACCCCGAUUGCGAAGACAGCUUACUAAACUGUGACUGACAUUGAUGCUCGAAGGUGUGGGUAUCAAACAGGAUUAGAUACCCCAGUAGUC
This 460-nucleotide ribosomal RNA is filed under the name uncultured bacterium. Its description in RNAcentral is "partial 16S ribosomal RNA". It matches the Rfam family "Bacterial small subunit ribosomal RNA", at positions 338 to 795 of the family's 1533-position model. The record is from RNAcentral.